GAUGAACGCUGGCGGCGUGCCUAAUACAUGCAAGUCGAGCGAACAGACGAGGAGCUUGCUCCUUUGACGUUAGCGGCGGACGGGUGAGUAACACGUGGGUAACCUACCUAUAAGACUGGGAUAACUUCGGGAAACCGGAGCUAAUACCGGAUAAUAUUUCGAACCGCAUGGUUCGAUAGUGAAAGAUGGCUUUGCUAUCACUUAUAGAUGGACCUGCGCCGUAUUAGCUAGUUGGUAAGGUAACGGCUUACCAAGGCAACGAUACGUAGCCGACCUGAGAGGGUGAUCGGCCACACUGGAACUGAGACACGGUCCAGACUCCUACGGGAGGCAGCAGUAGGGAAUCUUCCGCAAUGGGCGAAAGCCUGACGGAGCAACGCCGCGUGAGUGAUGAAGGUCUUCGGAUCGUAAAACUCUGUUAUUAGGGAAGAACAAACGUGUAAGUAGCUGUGCACGUCUUGACGGUACCUAAUCAGAAAGCCACGGCUAACUACGUG
Molecule: ribosomal RNA, 497 nt
Filed under: uncultured bacterium
Lineage: Bacteria
Description: partial 16S ribosomal RNA
Rfam family: Bacterial small subunit ribosomal RNA
Source: RNAcentral